Oryza sativa Japonica Group (Japanese rice) is the source of this 2476-nucleotide non-coding RNA. Lineage: Eukaryota; Viridiplantae; Streptophyta; Magnoliopsida; Poales; Poaceae. The record is from RefSeq and is a predicted model, not a curated record.
UCCAAUAGAUUUCAUCUCCCUUAACUCCACAAAUAAAUUCCUCCAAAUAUUUCCAUCCAAUUUCCCUUAGUUUACAUUUCCUUGAAUCCCAUUUAAAUUCCUUGUCCAAGUUCAAAAAGUCCACAAACAUUCAUUCUCUAAAUUUCAUCUCCUUUGAAUUCUAUUCAAAACCCUCCACACAAAUUAUCAAAGCUUCCUACUCAUUUUGGGCCGAGGUUCCUUCAUCUGGCCCAGUCAGCAUAAGUCUAUAUUUUCUCCCUCCUCCUUCCUGUGGGCAUGCUGCCGCCGCCGCCGCCGCCCAGCCAGUCCGACGCCGCCACCUUGCCGCGCUGCCCACGCCGUCGAUUGCCGCCACGCCACCACAACGCUGCUACACGUCGCCGCCACUGCCGAAACCGGGGGCCCUCGUGUCGCCUCCACAGCCACCGCCGCCAGCGCCAUUCCGCGGCCGCCGCUGCUCAGCCGCCAUCGCCUGCCGCUUUGCCGCCGUCGCCCGCCGAUUCGCCGCCGCCGCACGACGCCGUGCCGUGUCACCAGCCACGCGCUGCCGUAAGCCGACGCCGAUUACCGAGCCGCCCCUUUGCCGCAAAUCAGAAGCCGACGCCCGGCGCCGCCUCUCUCCAUCCCAUCCCCGACGCCGCCUCAUGCCGUCGUCGUCUUCCCUUUUGCAACCGACCUCGUCGCCUAUAAAAGCCGACGAGCACCCUCCUCUCCCCAUCUAAGCUCAAUGAGCUCCCUCUCUCUCUCUUUCUCCCCCUCUCUCCAAUCCUCCCGGCCACCGUCGCCUUUGCCCUCCACCGCCGACCGCAGUUCUACUCCUAGUGCCGUCUCCGGCCGUCAUCGCCGUCGAGCUCCGGCCACCCUUGCCGUGCCUCCCUUGCCGCGCUCUCCCUCCCUCUCCUCUGUGCCAGUCGAAGCAAGAAGGGGAGGUAGAAGAGGAGGUAAAUGGAGACACUGACAGUGGGCCCCACCUUUCAUAAAACUGUACAGCAAGUUUUAUCAGCAUCCAUGGAGCUGAUGUGGACCCAGAUGGCUACGCUGAAGCUGCAGGAAAUCUUAAGGCGCAAGGCAAGACAUAACUAAAAUUUUGAUCAUAUAGAAACCUUGAUAUAAUCUUCAUAUUUAAAUUUGAUGCAUGAUAUUUACUCUUUUAACAUAUCAUGGGUAGAUGUUAUACUUCAGAAUAACAUUAUGGUAAUUAUUAAUGCUUUCAAGCAUUAUUGCAUGAGACUAUAGAAAGAAGCAUUGGUUAUCAUUUUAUGUGAUUUACUAUUACAAACAAUUUUAUAAUCUAAGGAAUCUGGUUAAAAUGGGAAUUUAUGAGUAGAGAUUGUGAAUAUUGAGGAUUAUGAAUGUUGAUAUAUGAUGAAGUUUGUUUGUGUGGGGAGGUUGGAAAGUUUUAGGUGGUUUAACUGGAUAUAAUUACCCCCUUAUACCAUGGAAAUGACAUAAUUUGCGUCCAUCCACACGAUCAAGGAAUUGGACUUAGCCUAGUACAUUGUCCCACUAUAUGAAAGACUGUUGGUUGGCUCACUAGAAGCAGGAUUGGCGUGAAUGCAUGUGUAAGGAGGUUGGGGGCAUGGUUCACAACGGUAGAACCCAUGAAAGCAGCGACCAUGUAGCCUUGCCUAGGCCUGGCAAGUGUCCGACUGCUAGGACGGAUCAAUAUCCCACUCGUGCAGUAACUAGUAGUAAGUGGGACCUUCGAACAGCUCUGUUGUUCUCAGGCUAGCUAGCUGUGGGCAUCGUGUGGGUAAAGCUGAACAGUCUCUGCAGAGGUGAAUUAAAUCAUUCGAAUGUGCCGUACUCCCGGUUCUGGAGUUGUGUCAUCAGGGUGAUUCCUACUCCUGAAGUAUAAGUAGUUUUAAAAAUUAAAUGUUGAAGAUAAAGAUGACUUAUGAUUUUUUAUUACUUCUUUACUUUAUCAUUGUUUUAUCUAUUCAUAUCUAUUUACACUUAAUUAUUUAUAAUAUGUUUUGCUGAGUACAUAAGUACUCACCCUUGCAUAAUUUGACAUAUAGUAAAGCUAACACGAAGACUGGAAGGAAGCAAGAUCUACGGCAACAACAAGUUUGUCUAGGCUAGUCUACACUCGAGCUUUUGCCUGUGGAGUUCUUCGGAGUUUAUUGGUUGUAGUUUAAUAAUUUAGAGGUUUGGAUUUUUCUUGUAUUUUCAAAUAAGGAUAUUUUCGUUUGGAUCUUUUCACCCUUUAACAGUUGUAUAAUUAUUUUGUACUUCCUCUGUUUCACAAUGUAAGACUUCCUAGCAUUGCCCACAUUCAUUUAGAUGGUAAUGAAUCUAGAUAUAUGUAUGUGUUUAGAUCCAUUAACAUCUAUAUUUAUGUGGACAAUGCCAGAAAGUCUUACAUUGUGAAACGGAGGAAGUAUGAACAAAUAUGUGUAAAUAAUCGAAAGCUGUUCUGUAUAUCAAUUUGUGCGUGAUCGAAAUCCUGGACGAUCACGAGUGGAUUUUUGGG